AGAGUUUGAUCAUGGCUCAGGAUGAACGCUAGCGGCAGGCUUAACACAUGCAAGUCGAGGGGUAACAUUGAUUGCUUGCAAUCAGAUGACGACCGGCGCACGGGUGCGUAACGCGUAUGCAACCUACCUUUUACUGGGGAAUAGCCCGAAGAAAUUCGGAUUAAUGUCCCAUAGUAUUAUUUAAUCUCAUGAUUUUAUAAUUAAAGAUUUAUUGGUAAAAGAUGGGCAUGCGUUUUAUUAGUUAGUUGGUAAGGUAACGGCUUACCAAGACUACGAUAAAUAGGGGUCCUGAGAGGGAGAUCCCCCACACUGGUACUGAGACACGGACCAGACUCCUACGGGAGGCAGCAGUGAGGAAUAUUGGACAAUGGGUGAGAGCCUGAUCCAGCCAUGCCGCGUGCAGGAAGACUGCCCUAUGGGUUGUAAACUGCUUUUAUACAGGAAGAAACACUCCCUCGUGAGGGAGUUUGACGGUACUGUAAGAAUAAGGACCGGCUAACUCCGUGCCAGCAGCCGCGGUAAUACGGAGGGUCCAAGCGUUAUCCGGAAUCAUUGGGUUUAAAGGGUCCGUAGGCGGAUUAUUAAGUCAGAGGUGAAAUCCCACAGCUCAACUGUGGAACUGCCUUUGAUACUGGUAGUCUUGAGUUAUAUGGAAGUAGAUAGAAUGUGUAGUGUAGCGGUGAAAUGCUUAGAUAUUACACGGAAUACCGAUUGCGAAGGCAGUCUACUACGUAUAUACUGACGCUAAGGGACGAAAGCGUGGGGAGCGAACAGGAUUAGAUACCCUGNNAGUCCACGCCGUAAACGAUGGACACUAGUUGUUGG
Molecule: ribosomal RNA, 825 nt
Filed under: uncultured bacterium
Lineage: Bacteria
Description: bacterial SSU rRNA
Rfam family: Bacterial small subunit ribosomal RNA
Source: RNAcentral